Molecule: ribosomal RNA, 468 nt
Filed under: uncultured bacterium
Lineage: Bacteria
Description: partial 16S ribosomal RNA
Rfam family: Bacterial small subunit ribosomal RNA
Source: RNAcentral
GACGAACGCUGGCGGCGUGCUUAACACAUGCAAGUCGAACGGAAAGGCCCUGCUUUUGUGGGUUUCUCUAGUUGCGAACGUGUGAGUAACACUUGAGUAACCUGCCCUUGACUUUGGGAUAUCUUCAGGAAACUUUGGCUAAUACCCGAUAGGAUCUCCUGCUGCUUGGUGGUCGUUGGAUAGUUUCGGCGGUUGGGGAUGGACUCGCGGCUUAUCAGCUUGUUUGUGGGGUAGUGGCUUACCAAGGCUUUGACGGGUAGCCGGGCUGAGAGGGUGACCGGCGAAAAUAGGACUGAGAUAAGGCCCAGACUAGAACGGGAGGCAGCAGUGGGGAAUAGUACAGAAUGGGAGGAAGCAUGAUGCAGAAAAGCAGGGAGGGGGAUGAGGGGAUUGGGGUUGGAAAGAGAAGUAGGAUGAGACGAAGAGAGAGUGACGGUAAUGGGUAAAGAAGCACCGGCUAACUACGUG